GGGUCGUUAGCUCAGUUGGUAGAGCAGUUGACUUUUAAUCAAUUGAUCGCAGGUUCGAAGCCGGCGCGACCCACCA
This 76-nucleotide transfer RNA is filed under the name Escherichia coli. Its description in RNAcentral is "tRNA-Lys". It matches the Rfam family "tRNA". Rfam says of the family: Transfer RNA (tRNA) molecules are approximately 80 nucleotides in length. Their secondary structure includes four short double-helical elements and three loops (D, anti-codon, and T loops). The record is from RNAcentral. Lineage: Bacteria; Pseudomonadati; Pseudomonadota; Gammaproteobacteria; Enterobacterales; Enterobacteriaceae.